GUGACAGCUGGCAGUAUGUGGUGGCCACUCUGCUGGACCUCUCCCCAUGGAACCCAGGUCCCUGCUGUGGAAAGGAUCCGUGUUCCUGCGCUUUUCAUCCGGUUUUGCCAUUGCUCAUUUGCACGCCUGCUGUGAUUCCUUGAGAGGGCUUGUAUUGUGCUCAUUUGUGAGUCUGCAGCACACUGCCUGCACGCAGGGUGCUCUCCCUCCAUAGGGCUGCCCAGCAAGUGAUCAAACAGGUCUCCUCCCAGAGUCUGACCUUGACGCUUGGGGUUUCUACUACCCAAAAGUGGGACACAGAGCGUGCAUUCUGGUGCAGGAAUCUUAGAGAGAUGUAAUUCUAGCCGAAUUACAAGAGAGGUGGAAGGAAACCAUGAGUUACUUUUUGAUUUGGGGAACGAGGAGGUGGUUUGGAAGAAAUUGGCCAUAGGAAAGACACAGCCCCAAAGUGGACCCUUAACAAGCAGAAUCCUGCACCUGGGGCUGGCGUGUGAGUGUGUGGGGUGAGGAUCUUCUGAGUGAAAAGGCUCGGCCCUUGCAUUUCAUGGAAAAGGUCACUAGUGUCAUCAGCAUUGUGGCGCCAAGCAAGGUUCCCCUCUGCCACCUCCCCUGUGCCCCGCUUCUCUUCCCAGUCCCGGCAACAGCCUCGAACCCUCAAAGCCAAUGACUCCAGAAAUGAAGACGUUUGUACAGCGGAAUACGAUUCAGCCACGAAAUGGGACCGAGGGCUGAUCCUCGCUACAACACGGGCAAACCUUGAAAACGAUACAAACGAAAGAGAUCACACACUCGAAAGGGCCAUGUGUUGUGUGAUUCCAUUUAUGGGCAAUGUCCAGAAGAGGACACAGAGAGCAGGUGUGUGGCAGCCAGGGGCUGGGGGCUGGAGGGGACAGAGGGCUGGCUGCUUACGUAGAUGAGGUUUUAUUUUGGGGGGUGUUGGAAAUGCUUCGAGCUAGGUAGAGGCAGUGGUUGUGCAACAUGAGGUGUGUGCUGAAUGCCACAGAAUGGUUCACUUUAAAAGGGAGGGGGGGUGGGUGGAGGGCAGCCCGGGUGGCUCAGCAGUUUAACGCCGGCUUCAGCCCAGGGCCUGAUCCUGGAGACCUGGGAUCGAGUCCCGCAUCGGGCUCCCGGCAUGGAGCCUGCUUCUCCCUCU
This 1153-nucleotide long non-coding RNA is filed under the name Vulpes vulpes (red fox). RNAcentral describes it as "lncRNA (ENSVVUG00000005978.1)". Lineage: Eukaryota; Metazoa; Chordata; Mammalia; Carnivora; Canidae. The record is from RNAcentral.